RNAcentral lists this transfer RNA (66 nucleotides) under Mansonia amazonensis. RNAcentral describes it as "tRNA-Tyr". The record is from RNAcentral. Lineage: Eukaryota; Metazoa; Arthropoda; Insecta; Diptera; Culicidae.
GAUUAAAUGGCUGAAGAUAGGUAAUAAAUUGUAAAUUUAUUUAUGGGAAUUUAUUCUCUUUAAUCA